Carassius carassius (crucian carp) is the source of this 1562-nucleotide long non-coding RNA. RefSeq lists it as uncharacterized. NCBI's taxonomy places the organism in Eukaryota, Metazoa, Chordata, Actinopteri, Cypriniformes, Cyprinidae. The transcript has 3 exons. The record is from RefSeq and is a predicted model, not a curated record.
AUAACGGUAUCUUAAUGAUUUUAAUACAUGAAAAUAAUGUAAAAAAAAAAAAAAAAAUAUCAUGAUACUUAAAGUGGAUAUUAAAAUUGCUUCCUCAAAAAGUAUUUGUAUUAAAUGUGCACAUCACUAUAAUAAUUUACUUUGUUUUACACUAAACUUGUAAUUUUUUCCCCCUCUUCUUAUAUACAAAGUUUAAAGAAGACAAGGUAGUCAAAGACGCCUACCAUCUUUCUAAAACACAUUUCUCUUAAAUGUUUAUAUAUAAACAUCUCUGUAAGUCACCAUGUAUGGCGCUUGUUCUUUCACAAAGUUCAGUAAUGCAGAAGUCAAACAGUCUUGUGAUUUAUAAUGUUGACAGUGAAAAAGCAAGCUGAAUUUCGGGGGGGUUUCCUCAGACUCCAGGCAGGUAUGGGCAAGUGAUAGAUCUUUUUCCUUCAACUUAACUUAACUGGUAUUAGCACCAUCAAUGAACGGUAAAAUAUUCUGCAUGCAAAGACUUCAAUCCCUCUGUAUAAACCAAAUGUUACUGAAAAGCCGUGUAAAAACUAAUAAAUGCUCCUGUUCCACAAAGAACUGAGUCGUCUUUGAGAUCUGAGAUUACUUUUGGCUUAUUUCUGAGGUACAACUUUCUGGAGCCAGCUGAGAGCCGAACUGAAUCAAAGAUAUACGGUCUGCACCCUUUUGUGAAGCAUUUGGAAAGCGUAAGCCCGUGUGACUAGGAGCACAGAGCGUGGACAUUCACUGCACAUUGUGAAUGCUGGCCUCUCUGAAUGGCAUUAGAGCUGAUAAGAGCUCGGCUCAGUGACUGACAGUAUUUUACUGGGUUAGCUUGAUGCAUGGUACCAUGGAGAGCAACAAUCUUCAACUGAGAUCACAUUUAAGUGAAGGACGUAAUGAACAGCUGUGGUUGAUGAUAUCAGUCUAUGAGAAUAUCUAUACUGUAGAAGUCAUUUGUCCAUCUAAACCCCACCUCACUGCACUGCUCCACUCGAAGACAGGGGCUGGAGGUCGAGAGGUCAGCUGAGGUCACAGCUGAAAGCGUCAGGUCACACAGGAGCCUCCCUACUGGACAGAGGUUAACUGGAUGUCCUGUUUUCACUGGAUCAUCAAGAGCUCACUUCCUGUAUAACCAUUAAGACACGUCAAGACGAGAGAGCAGUGCUUGCGACCAUGUCCCAUUGUUGUUGUUGCUUCCGUACCCUUAUCCUGGUUUAUGCAUUAGUGUGUUUUCAGCCUUGAAUGUGAACCAUGUGAACUAUACUGUAAUCUUGCCAUAAACAUUGUAUUUUGUACAUAAUGCAUUUUCCCACAAAUCACUAGGGAUUACAACAGCAUUACUUCUUUAACUUACAUUUCUUUUAAUCAGAUAUAUACAGUAGGUGCUGUAUAUAAAUCCCUCCAUCCUCAUCCAUUUAAAGGACAUAAUAUAAAAGAUGGUUUAAGAGAAAUAGGAAAGUGUGCAAGCCAGAUUCAAACUCUUAUCUCCCACAUGAUAACCAUACUUUAAAAGUGUUUAAUUUGGUAAAAGCGUGCUCAAUUAAAGAUCAAAAUAUUAUUCAAGA